RNAcentral lists this long non-coding RNA (214 nucleotides) under Medicago truncatula (barrel medic). Its description in RNAcentral is "long non-coding RNA (MTRU_LNC003304)". The record is from RNAcentral. Lineage: Eukaryota; Viridiplantae; Streptophyta; Magnoliopsida; Fabales; Fabaceae.
CAAAAGCCCCAAAUUUGUUUCCAGCUUUACCCUUUUUUCCUGCUGUGUUUUCUUCCGCGGUUUAAUUUUGUUUCACUAUUGCUUGCUACAGUUCAGUUUCUGAAGGUUAGGGAAGCAAGAUCAAUGUUAUUUCGGAAAAGGGCCAUUUGAUAUUUUUUUUUUAGUGAGCCCACUCAAUUAUCUCACAGAUGGUGUUUUCUUUUUUUCUUUUCAC